This 253-nucleotide ribosomal RNA is filed under the name uncultured bacterium. RNAcentral describes it as "partial 16S ribosomal RNA". It matches the Rfam family "Bacterial small subunit ribosomal RNA", at positions 524 to 776 of the family's 1533-position model. The record is from RNAcentral.
UACGUAGGGGGCAAGCGUUGUCCGGAAUCAUUGGGCGUAAAGCGCGUGUAGGCGGCUGAGUAAGUCUGCUCUGAAAGCCCGGGGCUCAACCCCGGGAGGCGGGUGGAUACUGCUCAGCUCGAGUCCGGAAGAGGAGUGUGGAAUUCCUGGUGUAGCGGUGAAAUGCGCAGAUAUCAGGAGGAACACCAAUGGCGAAGGCAGCACUCUGGGACGGUACUGACGCUGAGGUGCGAAAGCGUGGGGAGCAAACAGG